ACACUGAGGAUUGACAGACAAAUAUAGAAAUUUUAUAUUUCUCAUAUAUAAAGAUGCUAGUUCUUUCAUGAUUAUGUGAUAGGUGGUGCAUGGCCGUUCUUAGUUCGUGGAGUGAUCUGUCUGCUUAAUUGCGUUUCAAUUUUUAUUAUGUAUACGUAUGACCCACGUUUACGCGUGCGAGUCUAGUAUGCUAUCAUUUGAAAGCAACGAACGUGACCGUAUCCUUUUAUUAUAUACGCACGCGUAUAUUUAUUCAUUAAAGGGACCGCUGUUUCUUUUUUUAAACCAGAGGAAGGUUACGGCAAUAACAGGUCUGUGAUGCCCUUCGAUGUUCCGGGCUGCACACGUGCUACAAUGAUUAUUUCAUUAAGUAUCUACUAUACUGCACAUUAUGUGUAUUAAAACCUACCCUGAGAAUGGGCGGGUAAUCAAUUAGAAGUAAUGAUUUCCUUUUUUUUAUACGCAACUAUGUACCGUAUAUUACAUCCCAUAAUAUUUUUUUAUUAUGCGUGUGUGUUUUAUUACCGUGUACGCGUAAUUGUUAAUUCAUGGUGGGGAUAGACCAUUGUUAAUUGUUGGUCUCGGUCUUAACUAGGAAUGCCUUGUACGGGUCAUUG
Molecule: ribosomal RNA, 617 nt
Filed under: Elphidium sp. S1
Lineage: Eukaryota; Foraminifera; Rotaliida; Elphidiidae
Description: SSU rRNA
Rfam family: Eukaryotic small subunit ribosomal RNA (bases 1-489)
Source: RNAcentral